RNAcentral lists this ribosomal RNA (837 nucleotides) under uncultured bacterium. Its description in RNAcentral is "bacterial SSU rRNA". It matches the Rfam family "Bacterial small subunit ribosomal RNA", at positions 62 to 859 of the family's 1533-position model. The record is from RNAcentral.
UCGAGCGAUCUGCCUUGAAGAUCGGAGUGCUUGCACUCUGUGAAACAAGAUACAGGCUAGCGGCGGACGGGUGAGUAACACGUGGGUAACCUGCCCAAGAGAUCGGGAUAACACCUGGAAACAGAUGCUAAUACCGGAUAACAACAGAUGAUGCCUAUCAACUGUUUAAAAGAUGGUUCUGCUAUCACUCUUGGAUGGACCUGCGGUGCAUUAGCUAGUUGGUAGGGUAACGGCCUACCAAGGCGAUGAUGCAUAGCCGAGUUGAGAGACUGAUCGGCCACAUUGGGACUGAGACACGGCCCAAACUCCUACGGGAGGCAGCAGUAGGGAAUCUUCCACAAUGGACGCAAGUCUGAUGGAGCAACGCCGCGUGAGUGAAGAAGGGUUUCGGCUCGUAAAGCUCUGUUGUUGGUGAAGAAGGACAGGGGUAGUAACUGACCUUUGUUUGACGGUAAUCAAUUAGAAAGUCACGGCUAACUACGUGCCAGCAGCCGCGGUAAUACGUAGGUGGCAAGCGUUGUCCGGAUUUAUUGGGCGUAAAGCGAGUGCAGGCGGCUCGAUAAGUCUGAUGUGAAAGCCUUCGGCUCAACCGGAGAAUUGCAUCAGAAACUGUCGAGCUUGAGUACAGAAGAGGAGAGUGGAACUCCAUGUGUAGCGGUGAAAUGCGUAGAUAUAUGGAAGAACACCGGUGGCGAAGGCGGCUCUCUGGUCUGUUACUGACGCUGAGGCUCGAAAGCAUGGGUAGCGAACAGGAUUAGAUACCCUGGUAGUCCAUGCCGUAAACGAUGAGUGCUAAGUGUUGGGAGGUUUCCGCCUCUCAGUGCUGCAGCUAACGCA